CAGGGGUUUUCACCCAAGGUUCGCUUCCAGCCAGCUGGAGAGAAAAACUGCAGGAACAGACUGGAGGUUCAGAUGAUCCCAAAAAUCUUAGGAUUAAUCUUCAUUUGUGAUUGUUCCAUGCUUGCAGUGCUCAGAAAAUCUUCCUGCUUUUUCCUUGCAGCACAUUUCUGGAUAGGGAAAGGACUAAAGGAAAAGUGUUAUGGAAGAACAUGUGACUGAACAAAUUGACAGCCCAGGGAAACAGCAAUAAGAUGGGAGUAGAUGUGGAUCUCGAGGAAAGACAAAAUAUUGAAGCUGCUGCUGCUGCUUUGCCUAAAGGAAUUUCAGUCUUUCAGCAGAAGCCCUUGGUUGUGCUGUCAGUUCCUUACCUGCCCGGUCUCUGGUGCCUGAGCUGCAAGAAACCAACUCAAGCAUUUCCAUCUAUGCCAU
Passer montanus (Eurasian tree sparrow) is the source of this 429-nucleotide long non-coding RNA. RefSeq lists it as uncharacterized. NCBI's taxonomy places the organism in Eukaryota, Metazoa, Chordata, Aves, Passeriformes, Passeridae. The transcript is spliced from 3 exons. The record is from RefSeq and is a predicted model, not a curated record.